Vicia villosa (hairy vetch) is the source of this 880-nucleotide long non-coding RNA. RefSeq lists it as uncharacterized. NCBI's taxonomy places the organism in Eukaryota, Viridiplantae, Streptophyta, Magnoliopsida, Fabales, Fabaceae. The transcript is spliced from 5 exons. The record is from RefSeq and is a predicted model, not a curated record.
AAAAUAUUUGCUGGGUGUUAAUAACCUCGCAAUGUUUCUUCAAUAAUACUUUUCAUUUUCAUUUCCCACAUUCAGUAUUCACCCAAAAAAACCCUAAAACUCAUCUUCUUCACCCCGACACCACUUUUUCCCCAACAUUAAACCACAAAUCUCAGUCUUCACCCCAACAUUAAACCACCACAAAUCUCAGUCUCCUUCGCUUUUUCCCUAAAAAUCAUCUCCUUCAGUUGCUGGGUUCAAUGGAGGCACUUUGAUUACAAAACAAUGGAGGCACUUUGAGGGUCUGGCUAAACAAUAACAGAGCAAUCACAGACCUCCUACGUAAUACUCCUCCAGCCUCACCUUAAGAGACAACUAGGGUUCAUUUACUAUCAGGAUUUUUGUGAUACUACCUUCUAACAUCAAGGAACUUUCCAAACUUAGAAGACUAAACUUCACUACAAGAAAAAGGGUGAUUACUCCUCCGUAAUACUCCUCAAGCCUCACCUUAAGAGACAACUAGGGUUCAUUUACUAUCAGGAUUUUUGCAGUAUCUGUGGCUGCUGAUUUGGUUUCUGUCAAGCAAGAAAUUCAGAAUUAAAUUAGUCCUAAGGGUUUACUUUUCUGUUAUUAACAAAUGAAAAUGAGGAGAGUGGCUGUGGGUUUUAGCAUUUAAUGAACUAAGCCACUGUUGCGCACUUGUUGGACAGCAUUUGGUGAGGAAGCUAAUUGUCUUAUUAGGGAGAGCUUCGAUCAUCAUUUUCAUUCUUGCCCUCACCGUUUUUGUGAGUGGAACAUCAAUAGGUAAGUGUUAUUAAUUUGUUUGAUUUGCUUUAUUUGUUAUCUAUGAGUGAAGUCUUUGAUGGUUUUCUCUAUGGGAAUGAAUAUAGAUUGUUGUUUA